Molecule: ribosomal RNA, 380 nt
Filed under: uncultured eukaryote
Lineage: Eukaryota
Description: partial 18S ribosomal RNA
Rfam family: Eukaryotic small subunit ribosomal RNA
Source: RNAcentral
CAAUAGCGUAUAUUAAAGUUGUUGCGGUUAAAAAGCUCGUAGUUGGAUUUCGGAGUCCACAGACUGGUCCGCCGAGACGGUGAGUACUGGUUUUGGGACUCUUCCUCCAAAAGGCCUAUUCUUCUCUUAACUGAGCGGGGUAUGGAACUUUGGAAUUUUACUUUGAAAAAAUUAGAGUGUUUAAAGCAGGCCGAUGCCUUGAAUACAUUAGCAUGGAAUAAUGGAAUAGGACUUUGGUUCUAUUUUGUUGGUUUCUAGGACCAAAGUAAUGAUUAAUAGGGAUAGUUGGGGGCAUUAGUAUUUAAUUGUCAGAGGUGAAAUUCUUGGAUUUAUGAAAGACUAACUUCUGCGAAAGCAUUUGCCAAGGAUGUUUUCAUUAA